RNAcentral lists this ribosomal RNA (381 nucleotides) under Ototyphlonemertes duplex. RNAcentral's name for it is "partial 16S ribosomal RNA". It matches the Rfam family "Archaeal large subunit ribosomal RNA", at positions 1922 to 2601 of the family's 2987-position model. Lineage: Eukaryota; Metazoa; Nemertea; Enopla; Monostilifera; Ototyphlonemertidae. The record is from RNAcentral.
GCCUUUUGGUUUUUAAAGGUUAUUUCUGCUCAGUGUUUUUUAACAGCCGCGGUAAUUUGACCGUGCAAAGGUAGCAUAAUCAUUUGCCUUGUAAUUGAGGGCUGGUAUGAAUGAAUAAACGAAGGUUUUUCUUUAUUGGAAAAAAGUAAUGAAUUUUCUGUCUUAGUGAAGAAGCUAAGCUAAUAAAGGGGACAAGAAGACCCUUUCGAGCUUUACUAAUUGUCUUUUUGGCUUUUUUUAGUUUGGUUGGGGCGACCUAGGAAUAUCUUCCUGUAAUAUUUUGAUCCACUGUUUGUGAUUAAAAGAAUAAGUUACCGAAGGGAUAACAGCGUAAUUCUUCUUGAGAGUUCUUAUUAACGGAAGAGAUUGCGACCUCGAUGU